UGCCAGCAGCCGCGGUAAUACGGAGGAUCCAAGCGUUAUCCGGAAUCAUUGGGUUUAAAGGGUCCGUAGGCGGUCUAAUAAGUCAGAGGUGAAAUCCUACAGCUCAACUGUAGCAUUGCCUUUGAUACUGUUAGACUUGAGUUAUUGUGAAGUAGUUAGAAUGUGUAGUGUAGCGGUGAAAUGCGUAGAUAUUACACAGAAUACCGAUUGCGAAGGCAGAUUACUAACAAUAUACUGACGCUCAUGGACUACCCGGGUAUCUAAUCCUGUUCGCUC
This 276-nucleotide ribosomal RNA is filed under the name uncultured bacterium. Its description in RNAcentral is "partial 16S ribosomal RNA". It matches the Rfam family "Bacterial small subunit ribosomal RNA", at positions 506 to 784 of the family's 1533-position model. The record is from RNAcentral.